Molecule: ribosomal RNA, 610 nt
Filed under: Salmonella enterica
Lineage: Bacteria; Pseudomonadati; Pseudomonadota; Gammaproteobacteria; Enterobacterales; Enterobacteriaceae
Also listed under: 1 other name
Description: bacterial LSU rRNA
Rfam family: Bacterial large subunit ribosomal RNA
Source: RNAcentral
GCGAAUACCGGAGAAUGUUAUCACGGGAGACACACGGCGGGUGCUAACGUCCGUCGUGAAGAGGGAAACAACCCAGACCGCCAGCUAAGGUCCCAAAGUCAUGGUUAAGUGGGAAACGAUGUGGGAAGGCCCAGACAGCCAGGAUGUUGGCUUAGAAGCAGCCAUCAUUUAAAGAAAGCGUAAUAGCUCACUGGUCGAGUCGGCCUGCGCGGAAGAUGUAACGGGGCUAAACCAUGCACCGAAGCUGCGGCAGCGACACUGUGUGUUGUUGGGUAGGGGAGCGUUCUGUAAGCCUGUGAAGGUGGCCUGUGAGGGUUGCUGGAGGUAUCAGAAGUGCGAAUGCUGACAUAAGUAACGAUAAAGCGGGUGAAAAGCCCGCUCGCCGGAAGACCAAGGGUUCCUGUCCAACGUUAAUCGGGGCAGGGUGAGUCGACCCCUAAGGCGAGGCCGAAAGGCGUAGUCGAUGGGAAACGGGUUAAUAUUCCCGUACUUGGUGUUACUGCGAAGGGGGGACGGAGAAGGCUAUGUUGGCCGGGCGACGGUUGUCCCGGUUUAAGCGUGUAGGUGUGUGUUCCAGGUAAAUCCGGUUCACUUUAACACUGAGGCGUGA